CCUACGGGAGGCAGCAGUGGGGAAUCUUGCGCAAUGGGCGAAAGCCUGACGCAGCAACGCCGCGUGCGGGAAGAAGGCUUUCGGGCUGUAAACCGCUUUCAGCAGGAACGAAAAUGACGGUACCUGCAGAAGAAGGAGCGGCCAACUAUGUGCCAGCAGCCGCGGUGAUACAUAGGCUUCAAGCGUUGUCCGGAUUUAUUGGGCGUAAAGAGUUCGUAGGCGGUCGAGUAAGUCGGGUGUGAAAAUUCUGGGCUCAACCCAGAGACGCCACCCGAUACUGCUUAACUUGAGUUCGAUAGGGGAGUGGGGAAUUCCUAGUGUAGCGGUGAAAUGCGCAGAUAUUAGGAGGAACACCGGUGGCGAAGGCGCCACUCUGGAUCGAUACUGACGCUGAGGAACGAAAGCAUGGGUAGCAAACAGGAUUAGAUACCCUGGUAGUCCAUGCCGUAAACGGUGGGCACUAGGUGUGGGAUUCUAUUAACGAAUUCCGCGCCGUCGCUAACGCAUUAAGUGCCCCGCCUGGGGAGUACGGUCGCAAGACUAAAACUCAAAGGAAUUGACGG
RNAcentral lists this ribosomal RNA (563 nucleotides) under uncultured bacterium. RNAcentral's name for it is "bacterial SSU rRNA". It matches the Rfam family "Bacterial small subunit ribosomal RNA", at positions 338 to 916 of the family's 1533-position model. The record is from RNAcentral.